Molecule: long non-coding RNA, 1044 nt
Filed under: Coturnix japonica (Japanese quail)
Lineage: Eukaryota; Metazoa; Chordata; Aves; Galliformes; Phasianidae
Description: lncRNA (ENSCJPG00005002109.1)
Source: RNAcentral
AUGGUUGCUCCCCGGCGGAAGGCUGCUGCCAGAAAUACUGAGGAGGCCCAGACAAGGGUCCCAUGCUCUCAGAAACGGGAGGCAGCAACCAAGAGUACUGCAGAGACCCAGACUGAGGUCCUGCACAUGCCUGAUAGGAAGGCUGCUGCCAAAAAGUCUGAGAAGACUCAGACUGAGCCCCCAACCCGAGAUGCUGGUGUGCAGGUCUCUGGCUGUACUGAGUGCCAGAGCCUGGCCCUUGCAGUGCUGGGUGAGGGAGGCAGUGACUGUGUUCACUGCGACCAGGUGAACUACUUGCUCAGCCUCGUAGUUGACCUGAAGGAGGAAGUGGAGAGGCUGAGGACUAUAAAAGAGUGUGAGAGGGAGAUUGACUGGUGGUGUCAGUCCCUCUCAGCCUCAAGUUCUCAGCACACAGUCGAGGCUCCUAAUGGAGCAUGUCAGCCCCUGCCACCUUACAAACAGGUGGUAAAGGGGAACCAGCCAGCUGACAGCGCUGCAGCGAGCCCCCUGUCCUCUCUUCCCCCCAGCAGCAACUUGAGAAGGGAGGAGGAGUGGAAACAUGUACCUGCUCAGCAGAGGGGGCAUCCCCCAUCCCAACCAUCCUCAGCUCCCCAGGUGCCUCUGCGAAACAGGUUUGAGGCCCUGGAAUUUGAGGGGGGGACGAGUGAGAGUGUGGAGACAGGUUCACCCAUGAGGUUGCCUCAGGCAAAGCGGUCGCCCCCAAGCCUCAAGACUGCUUCUACCCAUAAGGACAGAAGGGUGAUUGUCGUAGGGGACUCCCUUCUACAUGGAACAGAGGGCCCUAUAUGCCAGCCCGACCCUACCUGCAGAGAGGUGUGCUGCCUUCCUGGGGCACGGGUCAGGGACAUUUCAGAGAUAAUUCCUGGGUUGAUUCGGCCUUCAGGUUACUACCCACUUUUAAUAAUUCAGGCUGGCAGCGAGGAAGUUGGCAAGGAAAGCCUGAGGUCCAUCAAGAAAGACUUCAGGGGAAUGGGGCGNAUAAAGAGAGAGAUGAAAUAUGGUGCUGAUACAUGUGAACGAUGA